GACGAACGCUGGCGGCGUGCCUAAUACAUGCAAGUAGAACGCUGAAGGAGGAGCUUGCUCUUCUGGAUGAGUUGCGAACGGGUGAGUAACGCGUAGGUAACCUGCCUGGUAGCGGGGGAUAACUAUUGGAAACGAUAGCUAAUACCGCAUAAGAGUAGAUGUUGCAUGACAUUUACUUAAAAGGUGCAAUUGCAUCACUACCAGAUGGACCUGCGUUGUAUUAGCUAGUUGGUGGGGUAACGGCUUACCAAGGCGACGAUACAUAGCCGACCUGAGAGGGUGAUCGGCCACACUGGGACUGAGACACGGCCCAGACUCCUACGGGAGGCGGCAGUAGGGAAUCUUCGGCAAUGGACGGAAGUCUGACCGAGCAACGCCGCGUGAGUGAAGAAGGUUUUCGGAUCGUAAAGCUCUGUUGUAAGAGAAGAACGAGUGUGAGAGUGGAAAGUUCACACUGUGACGGUAUCUUACCAGAAAGGGACGGCUAACUACGUG
RNAcentral lists this ribosomal RNA (495 nucleotides) under uncultured bacterium. Its description in RNAcentral is "partial 16S ribosomal RNA". It matches the Rfam family "Bacterial small subunit ribosomal RNA", at positions 28 to 507 of the family's 1533-position model. The record is from RNAcentral.